UGGGGUGUCGCCAAGUGGUAAGGCCCGGGACUUUGACUCCCGUAUCGUAGGUUCGAGUCCUGCCACCCCAGCCA
This 74-nucleotide transfer RNA is filed under the name Christensenellaceae bacterium. RNAcentral describes it as "tRNA-Gln". It matches the Rfam family "tRNA". From Rfam's summary of the family: Transfer RNA (tRNA) molecules are approximately 80 nucleotides in length. Lineage: Bacteria; Bacillati; Bacillota; Clostridia; Christensenellales; Christensenellaceae. The record is from RNAcentral.